AGAUUGAACGCUGGCGGCAGGCCUAACACAUGCAAGUCGAGCGGUAGAGAGGUGCUUGCACCUCUUGAGAGCGGCGGACGGGUGAGUAAAGCCUAGGAAUCUGCCUGGUAGUGGGGGAUAACGCUCGGAAACGGACGCUAAUACCGCAUACGUCCUACGGGAGAAAGCAGGGGACCUUCGGGCCUUGCGCUAUCAGAUGAGCCUAGGUCGGAUUAGCUAGUUGGUGAGGUAAUGGCUCACCAAGGCGACGAUCCGUAACUGGUCUGAGAGGAUGAUCAGUCACACUGGAACUGAGACACGGUCCAGACUCCGUACGGGAGGCAGCAGGUGGGAAUAGUUGGACAAGUGGGACGAAAGCCUAGACUCCAGCCAUGCCGCGUGUGUGAAGAAGGUCUUCGGAUUAGUAAAG
RNAcentral lists this ribosomal RNA (409 nucleotides) under uncultured soil bacterium. RNAcentral's name for it is "bacterial SSU rRNA". It matches the Rfam family "Bacterial small subunit ribosomal RNA", at positions 26 to 430 of the family's 1533-position model. The record is from RNAcentral.